Molecule: unclassified non-coding RNA, 240 nt
Filed under: plant metagenome
Description: partial contains small subunit ribosomal RNA, internal transcribed spacer 1, and 5.8S ribosomal RNA
Rfam family: 5.8S ribosomal RNA (bases 192-240)
Source: RNAcentral
UUUCCGUAGGUGAACCUGCGGAAGGAUCAUUACAGAGUUCAUGCCCUCACGGGUAGAUCUCCCACCCUUGAAUAUUUAUACCUUAGUUGCUUUGGCAGGCCGUGGAAACACCAUGGGCUCCGGCUUAUGCGUGCCUGCCAGAGGAAACAAACUCUGUUUUUAGUGAUGUCUGAGUACUAUAUAAUAGUUAAAACUUUCAACAACAGAUCUCUUGGUUCUGGCAACGAUGAAGAACGCAGC